RNAcentral lists this long non-coding RNA (201 nucleotides) under Mytilus galloprovincialis (Mediterranean mussel). The record is from RNAcentral. Lineage: Eukaryota; Metazoa; Mollusca; Bivalvia; Mytilida; Mytilidae.
GAUUUGUUUUAUUCAUAACAUUUGUUUAGAAACUAUUAAUAUAAUCCUGCAAUGUAGUUCUAAAAUUUUAUCUGCUCCAAGGUGUUGUCAGAUUAUGAAAGAAUUAAUGAACAUGCCUAACUUUGUCAUAUAAAAAACCCAUCUUAAUAUGUCUCUAGACAAAACAACAUGAAAUUGUCGUCUGCUGAUGGGGAAAGGGGG